This 253-nucleotide ribosomal RNA is filed under the name uncultured bacterium. RNAcentral describes it as "partial 16S ribosomal RNA". It matches the Rfam family "Bacterial small subunit ribosomal RNA", at positions 524 to 776 of the family's 1533-position model. The record is from RNAcentral.
UACGUAGGCAGCGAGCGUUGUUCGGAAUUACUGGGCGUAAAGAGUGUGUAGGCGGUGCUCUAAGUUCGGUGUGAAAUCUCCUGGCUCAACUGGGAGGGUGCGCCGGAAACUGGAGUGCUUGAGCGUGGGAGAGGAAAGCGGAAUUCCUGGUGUAGCGGUGAAAUGCGUAGAUAUCAGGAGGAACACCUGUGGUAUAGACGGCUUUCUGGACCAUAGCUGACGCUGAGACACGAAAGCGUGGGUAGCAAACAGG